GGGAAUUUUCCGCAAUGGGCGAAAGCCUGACGGAGCAACGCCGCGUGAGGGAAGAAGGCCUCUGGGCUGUAAACCUCUUUUCUCAAGGAAGAAGAUCUGACGGUACUUGAGGAAUAAGCCACGGCUAAUUCCGUGCCAGCAGCCGCGGUAAUACGGGAGUGGCAAGCGUCAUCCGGAAUUAUUGGGCGUAAAGCGUCCGCAGGCGGCCUUUCAAGUCUGCUGUUAAAGCGUGGAGCUUAACUCCAUUAAGGCAGUGGAAACUGUUGGGCUUGAGUGUGGUAGGGGCAGAGGGAAUUCCCGGUGUAGCGGUGAAAUGCGUAGAUAUCGGGAAGAACACCAGUGGCGAAGGCGCUCUGCUGGGCCAUAACUGACGCUCAUGGACGAAAGCCAGGGGAGCGAAAGGGAUUAGAUACCCCUGUAGUCA
RNAcentral lists this ribosomal RNA (424 nucleotides) under uncultured cyanobacterium. RNAcentral describes it as "bacterial SSU rRNA". It matches the Rfam family "Bacterial small subunit ribosomal RNA", at positions 357 to 796 of the family's 1533-position model. The record is from RNAcentral. Lineage: Bacteria; Bacillati; Cyanobacteriota.